GACGAACGCUGGCGGCGUGCCUAAUACAUGCAAGUAGAACGAUGAGUUUAGGUGCUUGCUCCCAUUUGCAGAGCCUCGAACGGGUGAAUAACGCGUGGAGAAGCUGCCUUUGAGCGGGGGACCACAUGUUAAAACGAGUGCUAAUACCGCAUAACCACUUUAAACUUAAUUUUUCAGGUUGAAAGAUGCAAUUGCAUCACUCAAAGAUUAUCCCGCGUUGUAUUAGCUAGUUGGUGAGGUAAAGGCUCACCAAGGCGAUGAUACAUAGCCGACCUGAGAGGGUGAUCGGCCACACUGGGACUGAGACACGGCCCAAACUCCUACGGGAGGCAGCAGUAGGGAAUCUUCGGCAAUGGACGAAAGUCUGACCGAGCAACGCCGCGUGAGUGAAGAAGGGUUUCGGAUCGUAAAACUCUGUUGGUAGAGAAGAACGGGGGUGAGAGUGGAAAGCUCAUCAAGUGACGGUAACUAACCAGAAAGAGACGGCUAACUACGUG
This 497-nucleotide ribosomal RNA is filed under the name uncultured bacterium. RNAcentral's name for it is "partial 16S ribosomal RNA". It matches the Rfam family "Bacterial small subunit ribosomal RNA", at positions 28 to 507 of the family's 1533-position model. The record is from RNAcentral.